RNAcentral lists this transfer RNA (83 nucleotides) under Ignavibacteria bacterium. Its description in RNAcentral is "tRNA-Leu". It matches the Rfam family "tRNA". Rfam says of the family: Transfer RNA (tRNA) molecules are approximately 80 nucleotides in length. Their secondary structure includes four short double-helical elements and three loops (D, anti-codon, and T loops). RNAcentral also lists the same sequence under 1 other name. Lineage: Bacteria; Pseudomonadati; Ignavibacteriota; Ignavibacteria. The record is from RNAcentral.
GCGGAAGUGGUGAAAUAGGCAGACACGCCAUCUUGAGGGGGUGGUGCCGCGCAGGCGUGCGGGUUCAAGUCCCGCCUUCCGCA